CCUGGCUCCGUUUGAGCGCUAGCUACAGGCUUAACACAUGCAAGUCGAGGGGCAGCAUGGUCUUAGCUUGCUAAGGCCGAUGGCGACCGGCGCACGGGUGAGUAACACGUAUCCAACCUGCCGUCUACUCUUGGACAGCCUUCUGAAAGGAAGAUUAAUACAAGAUGGCAUCAUGAGUCCGCAUGUUCACAUGAUUAAAGGUAUUCCGGUAGACGAUGGGGAUGCGUUCCAUUAGAUAGUAGGCGGGGUAACGGCCCACCUAGUCUUCGAUGGAUAGGGGUUCUGAGAGGAAGGUCCCCCACAUUGGAACUGAGACACGGUCCAAACUCCUACGGGAGGCAGCAGUGAGGAAUAUUGGUCAAUGGGCGAGAGCCUGAACCAGCCAAGUAGCGUGAAGGAUGACUGCCCUAUGGGUUGUAAACUUCUUUUAUAAAGGAAUAAAGUCGGGUAUGGAUACCCGUUUGCAUGUACUUUAUGAAUAAGGAUCGGCUAACUCCGUGCCAGCAGCCGCGGUAAUACGGAGGAUCCGAGCGUUAUCCGGAUUUAUUGGGUUUAAAGGGAGCGUAGAUGGAUGUUUAAGUCAGUUGUGAAAGUUUGCGGCUCAACCGUAAAAUUGCAGUUGAUACUGGAUAUCUUGAGUGCAGUUGAGGCAGGCGGAAUUCGUGGUGUAGCGGUAAAAUGCUUAGAUAUCACGAAGAACUCCGAUUGCGAAGGCAGCCUGCUAAGCUGCAACUGACAUUGAGGCUCGAAAGUGUGGGUAUCAAACAGGAUUAGAUACCCUGGUAGUCCACACGGUAAACGAUGAAUACUCGCUGUUUGCGAAUUACAGCAAGCGGCCAAGCGAAAGCGUUAAGUAUUCCACCUGGGGAGUACGCCGGCAACGGUGAAACUCAAAGGAAUUGACGGGGGCCCGCACAAGCGGAGGAACAUGUGGUUUAAUUCGAUGAUACGCGAGGAACCUUACCCGGGCUUAAAUNGCAGAUGAAUUACGGUGAAAGCCGUAAGCCGCAAGGCAUCUGUGAAGGUGCUGCAUGGUUGUCGUCAGCUCGUGCCGUGAGGUGUCGGCUUAAGUGCCAUAACGAGCGCAACCCUUGUUGUCAGUUACUAACAGGUUCCGCUGAGGACUCUGACAAGACUGCCAUCGUAAGAUGUGAGGAAGGUGGGGAUGACGUCAAAUCAGCACGGCCCUUACGUCCGGGGCUACACACGUGUUACAAUGGGGGGUACAGAGGGCCGCUACCACGCGAGUGGAUGCCAAUCCCAAAAACCUCUCUCAGUUCGGACUGGAGUCUGCAACCCGACUCCACGAAGCUGGAUUCGCUAGUAAUCGCGCAUCAGCCACGGCGCGGUGAAUACGUUCCCGGGCCUUGCACACACCGCCC
This 1382-nucleotide ribosomal RNA is filed under the name uncultured bacterium. Its description in RNAcentral is "bacterial SSU rRNA". It matches the Rfam family "Bacterial small subunit ribosomal RNA", at positions 18 to 1395 of the family's 1533-position model. The record is from RNAcentral.